UUAAGUGAAUAAGGGCGCACGGUGGAUGCCUUGGUACUAGGAGCCGAAGAAGGACGGAACUAACACCGAUAUGCUUUGGGGAGCUGUAAGUAAGCUAAGAUCCAAAGAUUUCCGAAUGGGGGAACCCAACACCUUUCAUAGGGUGUUACCAAUGAGUGAAUACAUAGCUCAUUAGGAGGUACACGCAGGGAACUGAAACAUCUCAUUACCUGCAGGAAGAGAAAGAAAAAUCGAUUCCCUGAGUAGCGGCGAGCGAAACGGGAGGAGCCCAAACCAACGAGCUUGCUUGUUGGGGUUGUAGGACUAGAACGUGAGAAGAAAUCAAGAUAGCAGAAGUGGUCUGGAAAGGCCCAUCAAAGAAGGUGACAAUCCUGUACGCGACAUCUUGAUGAACUCUACUAGCAUCCUGAGUACGGCGGGACACGAGGAAUCCCGUCGGAAUCCGCCAGGACCAUCUGGCAAGGCUAAAUACUACCUAGUGACCGAUAGUGAACCAGUACCGUGAGGGAAAGGUGAAAAGAACCCCGGGAGGGGAGUGAAAGAGAACCUGAAACCCUGUGUCUACAAGCUGCGGAAGAGCGACUAACGCUCGACCGUGUACUUUUUGUAGAACGGUCCGGCGAGUUGCCGUUGCUGGCAGGUUAAGUACUUAAGGUACGGAGCCGAAGGGAAACCAAGUCUUAACAGGGCGGUAAGUCAGUAACGGCAGACCCGAAACCGGGUGACCUACCCAUGGCCAGGAUGAAGUCUGCGUAAAAGUGGAUGGAGGUCCGAACACACGUCUGUUGAAAAAGGCGGUGAUGAGCUGUGGGUAGCGGAGAAAUUCCAAUCGAACUCGGAGAUAGCUGGUUCUCCCCGAAAUAGCUUUAGGGCUAGCCUCGGUAUAGUCUAAUGGAGGUAGAGCACUGAAUCGCUGCGGGGGCGUCAAAGUCUACCAAUGCGUAUCAAACUCCGAAUGCCAUAUAGAUGUUUACCGGGAGUCAGACUGUAUGAGAUAAGUCGGACAGUCAAAAGGGAAACAGCCCAGACCAUCUGCUAAGGUCCCAAAGUGUAUGUUAAGUGGUAAAGGAUGUGGGGUUUCGAAGACAACUAGGAUGUUGGCUCAGAAGCAGCCAUUCAUUCAAAGAGUGCGUAAUAGCUCACUAGUCGAGAGGUCCUGCGCCGAAAAUGUCCGGGGCUGAAACAUAACACCGAAGCAAUGGAACAUACCGCAAGGUAUGUUGGUAGGGGAGCAUUGAUAACACGAAGAAGCGGUACCGUAAGGAGCCGUGGAGAGUUAUCAAGAGAGAAUGCCGGAAUGAGUAGCGAGAUGAAGGUGAGAAUCCUUCAGGCCGUAUAUCCAAGGUUUCCAGGGUAAAGCUGAUCUUCCCUGGGGAAGUCGGGACCUAAGCUCAGGCUGAGAAGCGUAGGCGAUGGACAACUGGUUGAUAUUCCAGUACCUCUGGCUGUCAGAAAUGUGGGGACACGGAAAUUCAGGAAGUGCCUGUAAAGGAUUCAGGUGCAAGCAUGGUUUAUGCCGGGCAGGCAAAUCCGCCCGGGUAAGUGGACUGUGUGACGCGGACCGAAAUAUAAGUAGGGAAGCUUCUGGGAGAGCCGUCGAGAAAAGCCGCUAUUGUGCAGCCAGAGCCCGUACCGUAAACCGACACAGGUGGAUGGGGAGAGUAUCCCAAGGCCGGCGGGAGAAGCAUUGUUAAGGAACUCGGCAAAAUGGCCCCGUAAGUUCGCGAUAAGGGGUGCCUGUAGAGAUACAGGCCGCAGAGAAUAGGCUCAAGCAACUGUUUAGCAAAAACACAGGUCUAUGCGAAACCGUAAGGUGAUGUAUAUGGGCUGACGCCUGCCCGGUGCUGGAAGGUUACGGGGAGUGCUUAGGAGCAAUCCGAAGGUACGAACUUAAGCCCCAGUAAACGGCGGCCGUAACUAUAACGGUCCUAAGGUAGCGAAAUUCCUUGUCGGGU
Molecule: ribosomal RNA, 1955 nt
Filed under: human metagenome
Description: bacterial LSU rRNA
Rfam family: Bacterial large subunit ribosomal RNA
Source: RNAcentral